RNAcentral lists this ribosomal RNA (488 nucleotides) under uncultured bacterium. Its description in RNAcentral is "partial 16S ribosomal RNA". It matches the Rfam family "Bacterial small subunit ribosomal RNA", at positions 28 to 507 of the family's 1533-position model. The record is from RNAcentral.
GACGAACGCUGGCGGCGUGCUUAACACAUGCAAGUCGAACGCGCCUGUCCUCUGGGUUUCUGGGGGGUGUGUGAGUGGCGAACGGGUGAGUAACACGUGAGUAACCUGCCCCCUUCUUCGGGAUAACGGUCUGAAAGGGCUGCUAAUACCGGGUAUUCACUGGUCUCCGCAUGGGGUCUGGUGGAAAGGUUUUUUUCUGGUGGGGGAUGGGCUCGCGGCCUAUCAGCUUGUUGGUGGGGUGAUGGCCCACCAAGGCUUUGACGGGUAGCCGGCCUGAGAGGGUGACCGGUCACAUUGGGACUGAGAUACGGCCCAGACUCCUACGGGAGGCAGCAGUGGGGAAUAUUGCACAAUGGGCGCAAGCCUGAUGCAGCGACGCCGCGUGAGGGAUGGAGGCCUUCGGGUUGUGAACCUCUUUCGCCCGUGGUCAAGCCGCGACGUGGGUCGUGGUGAGGGUAGUGGGUAAAGAAGCGCCGGCUAACUACGUG